GCCUGGGUGGCCCAGUUGGUUGGGCAACCGACUUCAGCUCAGGUCAUGAUCUCAGGGUUCGUGGGUUCGAGCCCCGUGUCGGGCU
Non-coding RNA from Felis catus (domestic cat), 85 nucleotides. The record is from Rfam. NCBI's taxonomy places the organism in Eukaryota, Metazoa, Chordata, Mammalia, Carnivora, Felidae.